GACGAACGCUGGCGGCGUGCUUAACACAUGCAAGUCGAACGAAGUGGCGAACGGGUGAGUAACGAGUAAUCAACCUGCCCUUCAGAGGGGGACAACAGGUGGGAACGACUGCUAAUAUCGCAUACUGAAGGAGGGGAUUGCGUGUGAUUAGCUAGUUGGCGGGGUAACGGCCCACCAAGGCGAGGAUCAGUAGCCGGUGUGAGAGGAGGAGUGGCCGCAUUGGGACUGAGACACGGCCCAGAGUCCCACGGGAGGCAGCAGUGGGGAAUCUUGCGCAAUGGACGAAAGUCUGACGGAGCAACGCCGCGUGAGUGAUGACGGCCUUCGGGUUGUAAAGCUCUGUUAAUCGGGACGCGGUACCGGAAGAGAAAGCCACGGCUAACUACGUGCCAGCAGCCGCGGUAAUAC
RNAcentral lists this ribosomal RNA (408 nucleotides) under uncultured bacterium. Its description in RNAcentral is "partial 16S ribosomal RNA". It matches the Rfam family "Bacterial small subunit ribosomal RNA", at positions 28 to 526 of the family's 1533-position model. The record is from RNAcentral.